GGAGGCACAGAAUGGAAGACUGGACCAACUGUUUCUCUUCCUGCUGAUCGAGGCAAGAAGCGGGUCCUGGGCGGGAGAAGGAAGCGCCCUUUCCGGCCCUUGGAACGUGGUCAGGCUCUCCCCAACGUCGAGACAACGGCAAAGACUCACCCUGGGGAUGAUCUUAAAGAUGGAUCCCCCGAAAGGCUGGGGAGUCGGACUUUGCAGAAAACCCAAGUCUGGCCAGUGUGUGAGUCGGGGGAAGAUCUGUGGGAGGCGCGUCACCUUCAUGGCAGAGAGGAGAGCGCUGCCUACGCCAGCUCGGGAAGGACAUGGAAAUGACGAUCUUCUUGAGCCUGCUGCCAACACACCCCUGCGCCCACACAGGGUGGGUUUCUGCUGCUCACGGCCAGUGGAAUAAUUCAGGGGCAUCGCCAGUUCCUUCAAAGGAGUCCACGCGUUCUCACAAACACAGUUCCCUCCCCUUUGCUGAUGUUGUCUUUGGGCUCCUGCCCUGAUGGUUUUUAAAAACCAAGAGAUACGGAUGGAGCCAUGACCCCCUCUGCACGGGCAGUAUCACCACGGCAGCACCAUCUGUCACCAUGGUCACAGGGAAAACCUGUGGCCACUCUAGCCUUGUCCCCUGGUGCUGCAGCGUCCUCGGACCUUGACUCUCCCCUGCAGUCUCCCGGGCUGCUCUGGGGUCAGCUUCUCCAUCACUGAGGCCAGUCUUCACUAGCACUGAACUUGGCAGAGAUGUGCGCAGUCCCAGACUGGCCAAGGCUGACCUUUCUGGCUCAGGGGAGGGAGGGGUCUCUGGACCCUCUUGGCACGGUUAGGCACAGCCUUUUGACUGGAUCCUCAUGCCCUCGGAGUCUUUUCCUUUCCUGGCGUGACACCCAGGGCUGGGGCAGCUCACCCCGGGACCGAAGGCUCUGGGCAGAAGUACCAGCUCGCCUAUAAGGCACGUGCUGAGCACGGGAGAGUUUGAUGUCCAGUCAAGAUGGGGCUAUUAUGGGGCCAGUUUUCUACACGAGGCUGAACAGAUCAGGAUCAAUCACCCAAGCAGAGCCCCCGGUGGCUGCUUGCUCCCACAACCCAAAAUAAUCGCCAUUUCACCAGGCCGGACUCCACCAUCUCAGGACAGAGCUCACCGAGAUUUAAUCUGAAAAUCUGGGUGCUGAAAUCCCCAGACUUUCUCAGGGUCAAGAUGGGCUACCUCCAGGAUGCCUUGGCAGUCACGUCCACAAACAAAAGCUGCCGCCCAGUUAAAAAACCUACUCCAACCUUACCUUCCUGGUAAAAAGUAUUGAAGACCCUGAGCAAACAUGAUGGAUGGCCUCUUAGUAGCACUGUCGCACUGUCAUCCCGUUGUUCAUCGAUUUGCUUGAGCAGGCACCAGUAACGUCUCCAUUGUGAUAUUUGUUGUUACCUUAGUAUUAUUCCCCUGUAUCACUUGUCAUCCCAUUGAUCUUUGAGUGGCUCAAGCGGGAACCAGUAACAUCUCCAUUCAUCCCUGUCGCGUGCUAGUGCAGCCCAAUGGUAUCUGCUCGCUCCAGGAACAGGAAGAACCUCAAACCAUUCAUUCAGGGUUUUGACGAAGGAAGUCUUAGUAUUAUUGCGAACCAUAAUGCACAAAAGGACA
Long non-coding RNA from Sorex araneus (European shrew), 1624 nucleotides. RefSeq lists it as uncharacterized. Lineage: Eukaryota; Metazoa; Chordata; Mammalia; Eulipotyphla; Soricidae. The record is from RefSeq and is a predicted model, not a curated record. The transcript has 3 exons.